Molecule: transfer RNA, 77 nt
Filed under: Candidatus Bathyarchaeota archaeon
Lineage: Archaea; Thermoproteati; Candidatus Bathyarchaeota
Description: tRNA-Val
Rfam family: tRNA
About the family: Transfer RNA (tRNA) molecules are approximately 80 nucleotides in length.
Source: RNAcentral
GGGCUCGUGGUCCAGUUGGUUAAGACGCUUCCCUCACGCGGAAGAGAUCGCCGGUUCAAAUCCGGCCGGGCCCACCA